GGUUGCGAUCAUACCAGCACUAAUGCACCGGAUCCCAUCAGAACUCCGCAGUUAAGCGUGCUUGGGCGAGAGUAGUACUAGGAUGGGUGACCUUCUUGGAAGUCCUCGUGUUGCACCCC
This 119-nucleotide ribosomal RNA is filed under the name Gossypium raimondii (Peruvian cotton). Lineage: Eukaryota; Viridiplantae; Streptophyta; Magnoliopsida; Malvales; Malvaceae. The record is from RNAcentral.